GCCAGGCAUGGUGGCGGAUGCCUGUAAUUCCAGCUACUUGGGAGGCAGAGGCAGGAGACUUGCUUGAACCCAGGAGGCAGAGGUUGCAGUGAGCCAAGGUUGCGCCACUGCACUCCAGCCUGGGUGACCAAGCAAGACUCUGUCUCUA
RNAcentral lists this non-coding RNA (148 nucleotides) under Gorilla gorilla gorilla (western lowland gorilla). Lineage: Eukaryota; Metazoa; Chordata; Mammalia; Primates; Hominidae. The record is from Rfam by way of RNAcentral.